RNAcentral lists this long non-coding RNA (1143 nucleotides) under Human betaherpesvirus 5. Its description in RNAcentral is "RNA5.0". The record is from RNAcentral. Lineage: Duplodnaviria; Heunggongvirae; Peploviricota; Herviviricetes; Herpesvirales; Orthoherpesviridae.
AACACCCACAAACAACGUCACGACGCAACGUGGUUAAACAGUACGUUUAUUAAAGUAACUGGGUGAACGACAUCGGAGCGGACUGCAAAUCGCAACGCUACUUUCUCGAGUGCAGAUACUCUUCGAGACGGCUAAACAACGUGUCCAACUCGCUGAGACCUUUCCGCGUGCCGUUAUCCGAUUUCCUUUCCGCCUCCUGAGACAGCCGACUAAUCACGGACUUAUCUCCGCAACCUAACAGAGGCUGGGAGCCCGACAAAAGUAAAACAGCGUGCUAUGAACACGUUGUUACCUCUGCGCGGACAGCGCCGCCACAGAGACACUUACGCAUUGCCGCAUGUCUUUGUAGAUGGAUUCUAGCGUCGAGCGCAUACUAUGCAAUUCCGUCUUGAGUCCGGGAUAGACGUGGUCGCCUGCGGGGAACACGAUCUCCAGAUACCGCCUCAACAACCAGUCCAUGACGCUGCAUCCCCAACAGCCUUUGACCACCGUACCGUCGAGCCACACGGAGUAGUCGUCCUCACGUUGCUACAAGAGGAAAACUACGUCACCCGACACGCGGAAAAUAAAGACCGUCGCAAUAAACCGUACCUACGUGACCUACCAACGUAGGUUUUAUUCGAUGAAAGGUGACGCGGAGAUCUUGCAAUCUGGUCGCGUAAUCCUCUGGACGACACUGCGGCUUUGUAUUCUUUAUCGUCGUCGUUGCCGGCUUCGCCUCCUCGGAAGCGCCUAGAAAAAAGACGAUCAGGACCAGAGAGGAAGAGACCAUCACCGACAGCAUCGCCGCAGCAUGCCGCCCCAAUCCGCCGCCCAACUGCGCGUCCCAGAUACCACUCGUAGACUGUCAGCCUCGCGAGGAGACACCGCGGACCGGGGAAACGGAUAAGUUUACGAACAGAAAUCUCAAGAGAACGACGCUGACCCGGCAAGUACCGUCACGGAGACACGGUGGUUUUUAUUGAAUUUCCAGUGUAUCGAGCCACCGUGAUGCAGGUACGGUGGUUUUAUGUGAAGUGCCGCUACCUAUAGGCGAUGUGUUCCCUGACGGUGUGUGUUUUUUUGGGGAUAGACAACGUGGUUCUUGUACGUGGUUUUUACCCUGCUCAAUAAAGUCACGUUUUCCUAACACGGUGUUGUGUC